Molecule: long non-coding RNA, 774 nt
Organism: Teleopsis dalmanni
Lineage: Eukaryota; Metazoa; Arthropoda; Insecta; Diptera; Diopsidae
Exons: 3
Source: RefSeq, a predicted model, not a curated record
UAAUAUAUAAGUAUGUCUAUAAUACAGCCAUUUAAACUGAAAUGGAUUGUUAUAAAUAUUUCAAAUUAGAGAUUGAACUAAUAGUAGACUGAACAAAUUUUUUUAAUCGUUUCUAUAAUUCGUAUCGUAGCCAAUCGUAUCAGUUCAAUUAACUCGGAAUUCAGGCCACUGAAUGACUUUGUCUUUCCAAGUUAUUUGCAGUACACAGCGACGCCUAGACGUGUUUGGACUCCAUAAGCAUAUGCUUGUGAGUGGCUGUAAUUUCUAUUUCACUUUAAUUGUGACAACCACAAUUAACAUUUUUAUUGAAGUAUUAGCAAUACGCAAAUAUUAAAAAUGUUAAUCAUUGUUUCGAUGCGCAAAUAAUUCGCUCGCUGGAUGUUGUUGUUGUAGCCCGCUGGAAUCUGCUUGUGUGACCCCUUUGGGUAAUGUUGAACGACGCUUGGUCGUCUUCGACGAGUGGCUCCGAGACGUAGACCCGACUCACUAGAUGUCAUAUAGAUUAAUGUAUGCUGUAUGAGCUUUCUGUACACGGCUAAUAACGACUCUACCGUCCACACAUACUUUAUUAUAAGUAGUUGAAUAUGAAAAAGUUCAUUAGCGAAUUUUGUUAUGUCUAAAGGUAUCUUCUCCGAACAGGAAAACAUGGUUAUUUAUAUUUCUUUUGUUGUUCCUCAAAUCUACAGUCCUUCAUCAUCAAGGAUACGUUUCAACAGGUAAGUAAAAAUUAUUACUAAAAUAAUAAUUGUGAAGAUAUAUGUAAAGAAAGAAAAA